UACAGAGGUGGCAAGCGUUGUCCGGAAUUAUUGGGCGUAAAGAGCGUGUAGGCGGUCCGGUAAGUCAGCUGUGAAAGUCAAGGGCUCAACCCUUGAAAGCCGGUUGAUACUGUCGGGCUAGAGUCCGGAAGAGGCGAGUGGAAUUCCCGGUGUAGCGGUGAAAUGCGCAGAUAUCGGGAGGAACACCAAUGGCGAAGGCAGCUCGCUGGGACGGUACUGACGCUGAGACGCGAAAGCGUGGGGAGCAAACAGG
Molecule: ribosomal RNA, 253 nt
Filed under: uncultured bacterium
Lineage: Bacteria
Description: partial 16S ribosomal RNA
Rfam family: Bacterial small subunit ribosomal RNA
Source: RNAcentral